UUGAAACUCUUGGUGGUGCUCUUUUUGGUGCUGUUCUCCAGGUCCUAUUUGACAAGCUGGAUUCUCAUCAAGUUCUGGACUACUUUCGUGGGAGAAAGCUGGAUGAGAAGCUGCUCAAAAAUUUGAGGAGGAAGUUGGUGUCCAUCAAUGCUGUGGUUGAUGAUGCAGAACUAAAGCAGUUCAGAAAUCCAUAUGUUAAAGCGUGGCUUGAUGAGGUCAGAGACGUGUUGCUGGACACAGAGGAUCUGCUGGAUGAAAUAGACUAUGAAUUCUCCAAAACUCAGUCACAACUUCAAUACCAAACCAGUUCUAACAAGGUACGCAUUCUUGAAUCCAAGCUGAAAGAACUCCUAGAUGACCUUGAAUCUCUUUUAAACCAAAAGGAUGAUCUAGGUCUCAAAAAUGUUAGUGGUGUGGGAUCGGAAUUGGGUAAUAAAGUGUUAGAGAAAAGAAAUGAAUCCUCGUCGUUGGUGGCUGAAGAGGUUAUUUAUGGCAGAGAUGAGGACAAACAAAUUAUUCUUAAUUGGCUGACAUCAGACAAUGGAAAUCAUAACCACCUUUCAAUACAUUCUGUUGUGGGUAUGGGCGGGAUGGGUAAGACCACACUUGCUCAACAUGUAUACAACCACCCAAUCACAAAGGAUAUAUUUGCUAUCAAAGCCUGGGUCUGCGUUUCUGAUGAAUUCGAUGUUUUCAAGUUAACCAGAGCAAUUCUUGAAGCAAUUCAUAAGUCAACUGAUGAUAGCAGAAACUUAGAAAUGGUUCAGGGACGAUUGAAAGAAUCAUUGACAGGAAGGAAGUUUCUUUUGGUUCUUGAUGAUGUUUGGAACGAACACCGAGAUCAAUGGAAAUCAUUGCAAACUCCACUUAAAUAUGGUGCUAAGGGAAGUAAAAUUCUUAUCACAACACGCAUUAAUAAAGUUGCUUCUACCAUGGAGUCAAACACUAUUCACAAACUAAAGCAAUUAGAAAAAGAUCACAGUUGGCAAGUUUUUGCUAAACAUGCAUUUCAAGAUGAUAACUCUAAGUCGAAUUCUGUGUUGGAGGAGAUUGGCAUGAAGAUAGUUGAAAAGUGUCAAGGACUGCCUUUGGCCCUUGAAACGGUAGGAGGUCUCUUACAGUCAAAGUCAUCUGUUUCAGAGUGGGAAGGUGUACUGAGAAGCAACAUAUGGGACUUACCAAUAGAAGAUAGUAAAAUCAUCCCCGCUUUGUUAUUAAGCUAUUACCAUCUUCCUUCUCAUCUCAAGAGAUGUUUCACUUAUUGUGCGUUAUUCCCCAAAGACCAUAAGUUUGAUAAGGAGAGCCUAAUUUUCUCAUGGAUGGCUGAAAAUUUUCUACAAUGCUCUCAUCAAAGUAAGUCUCCAGAAAAAGUAGGUGAACAGUACUUCAAUGAUCUAAUAUCAAGGUCAUUCUUUCAGCAGUCCAUUUGGAACAACCAAACACAUUUUGUGAUGCACGACCUUCUGAAUGAUUUAGCAAAAUAUGUUUCUGGUGAAAUGUGUUACAGGUUGGGUGUUGAUAGACCAGGAAGCAUACCAAAGACUACCCGCCACUUUUCAACGCUAAAGAAUCCUAUUGAAUGUGUCGAGUAUAGGAGUUUAUGUGAUGCUAAAAGGCUACGAACAUUUCUGUCCAAGAGUUGUGGGAUGUCAAUCCAAGAGUUGAUCUCCAACUUUAAGUUCUUACGCCUCUUAUCUUUGUCUUCUUGUUUCAUAGAAGAGGUGCCUGACACUAUAGCCGAUCUUAUACAUCUCCGUUCAUUAGACCUUUCAAGCACACGCAUAACAAGACUUCCCGACUCAAUGUGUUCACUCUAUAACUUGCAAGUGUUGAAGCUCAACGAUUGUAACCUUCUGAAGGAGCUGCCCUCGACUUUGCAUGAGCUCACUAAGUUGUGCCGCCUUGAACUUAAGGGAACUACUUUGAGAAAGGUUCCAGUGCUUUUAGGAAAGUUGAAAAAUCUUCAAGUAUGGAUGAGUAGGUUUGAGGUUUGCAAAAGUAGUAAUGAGGUCAGCAAUAUUCAACAACUAGGACAACUUGAUCUUCACGGAAAGCUGUCAAUUCAAAAUCUUGAAAAUAUUGUGGAUCCCUGUGAUGCAUUAGCAGUGGAUUUGAAGAAUAAAACACAUGUUGUGGAGCUAAGUUUAGAAUGGGAUUCGCAGCGGAACAAUGAGAAUUCAAUAAAAGAAAAACAAGUACUAGAGAAUCUGCAACCUUCCAAACAUUUGGAGUGGUUGUUAAUCGUUUCCUAUGGUGGCACACAAUUUCCCCGUUGGUUAUCUGAUAAUUCUUUAUUGAAUGUGGUGUCCUUAGUUUUGGUGGACUGUAAACAUUGCUUGCAAUUGCCUUCCCUUGGACUUUUGACAUUUCUCAAGGAGUUGACAAUUGACGGCCUUGAUCAGAUAGUGAGGAUAGAUGUUGAUUUUUAUGGGAAUAGCUCAUCUGCAUUUGCAUCAUUGAAAGAGUUGACAUUUAGGGGUAUGAAGGAAUGGGAAGAAUGGAAAUGCAUGUCGUGUGCUUUUCCAAGUCUUGAAAGACUUUUUGUACUUCGUUGUCCCAAAUUGAAAGGGCACUUGCCAGAGCACCUUCCCCAUUUAAGGCUUCUAAGAAUUGCUCGGUGCGAACAACUUGUGGCUUCGACUCCGAAGGCGUUAGAAAUUGAAGGUGUGAAGACGAAGACAUCUUCAUUUAAUAUAUUAGGGCUCCUCGUAUCUGAUACACCUUUUGAAUCCUUGUGGAUUGAAUCUUGUCCGGGCAUUAAUAUUCCCAUAAACCAUUGCUACCAUUUUCUUGUAGACUUGCGUAUCACUCAAUGUUGUGACUCUCUCACAAACUUCCCUCUAGACUUGUUCCCAAAACUCGGCCUCCUUAUUUUGGAAGGAUGUCAUAACCUGCAGAUGAUAUCACAGGCGCACCCUCAUUGUCAUUUGAUGUAUUUGAAAAUUAAAAAAUGUUGUGAAUUUGAAUCAUUUUCCAAUGAAGGAUUAUCUGCACCAGAGCUAAAGAUAAUUCGUAUUGAAGAAUUGGAGAAAUUGAAAUUAAUGCCUAAACUCAUGUCCACUCUCCUUCCAUCUCUCAAUCAUCUGUAUAUAUAUAAUUGUCCAGGAGUGGAAUUGUCUGAGGGAUGUUUUCCAUCAAAUAUGAAAGAAAUGAGGCUCUUUAGUUGCUCCAAACUUAUUACCUCACUAAAGAAGGGGGUUUGGGGAACCAACCCUUCCAUAGAAUUCUUGUUUAUUCAAAAUGUGGAUGUGGAGUGUUUUCCGGGGGAAGGUUUGCUCCCAGUCUCCCUUACUAAGCUAUACAUAAAUUAUUUUCCAAAUCUUAAGAAACUGGACUACAGGGGUCUCUGUCACCUCUCCUCUCUUCAGAAAUUGGUUAUUGAAAAUUGUCCAAUACUCCAAUGUUUGCCAGAGGAGGGUUUACCCGAAUCCAUUUCAGAACUCAGAAUUGAAAGUUGCCCGUUGCUCAAACAGCGGUGCAAGAAAGAAGAAGGCGAAGAUUGGGAAAAGAUUGCUCACAUUAAAACUAUAUGGCUUGAUAUGGAAGCAGUAAACAUAUAAGACGAAGCAAAAAUUGGAAAUUCUUAAGGCACCAAUUACAUGCCUACAUUUUCAUCAGGUGCCAAUUCUCAACAUUAUCUUUCAAGCAUUUCAAAUACAAUCUUAUUUAGUACAAAUAUUUUAAUCUCUAGUUCACCUCUUUCUCCACUCAUCAACUUCUUGUCUUUUUUUAAAUUUUUAUUAUCGAUAUUCUGUUUUGAAGUUGAAAUAAUUGUAAAGACUAUUGAAGUGGAUAUUUUUGUGGAAUUAGAUUGAAAGACGUGUGAAUGACGAACUGUCGUGAUUUAAGAUUUUAAAAGUAUAUAAUGUUAUUUUCAUUUAAUUUUUUUCAUUCUCAAAUACCCAUAUCAUUAACCAUAUCGUCACCCUCCGAGUUCUCGACUUUUGUGCCAUAAACCAUGUCUUUUAAGGCCUUUAUGGUUAAUUUAUUAAGAAAUAAACAAACACACAUGAAAUACAAUAGAUUUCAAAUAUAAAUAAAAAUAAUCAAUCAAAAAGAUCCAAGAAUCUUUUUAGUACUGAUGUAGCAAUCUCUAUUAGUUUACCAAGGUAAUAUAUAGUUACAAAAAGAUCUUAUCAGAAAUAUAAAUGUAAGUAUCACACGGAUCAUUGUUAUCAAUGAUUGAGAUUUAUUCAUGUAGUUAGUUAUUUAGAACUAUAACACUACUACAGAUAUGAAUAUUCUAUAAUCCUUCAGCAUCUUUUAAAAUAUAUAUGAAUGCUAUGGGAUAUUUUUUAUUUUUCCCUGUCCUUCCUUUUAUAGUAGGCAUAGCAAAUAAGAAAAUUCCAAUGCCUGCCUCAGACAAGAGGGAACAUGUUUGUGUUCCUCACAAAUUCUCAUUGACAGUAUCUGCUCAGUGGUAGAUUAAAUAGGUCAAGUUUUAAAAGUAAAUAAAUCAAUAAGAUCAAUAACUUUUUUUAUUUCCUGUUACUAUAGCUAGUUAUAUUUGGAGCAGGGGAUAAUUUGACCAAACUGUUUUUGGAUCUGUGUUUGGCAGCUGAGCAAGGCCUUAUCCUGGAAGAAAGUUAAGAGAAGAAGAUUCAAACUCUAAAAGUAGAAGAAACCAACAGAAGCCAAUGCCCAUUAGUAUAGGCUUUGAUAGUAUGCUCUUGGACAGGCUGCAGUUUUAAGCAGUGAGCGUGGCUUUUCUUUAGGAGCCAAUGAUUCACCAAGCUUAACCUCCUGCACUAAAUCUGUAUGAAAAUCUGCAGAAAGAAAUACAAAAUGCAGCAGAAAUUGAUGUAAGAAUAACUUUUAGUUUGAUUCUUUCUUGUUUCUUAUUUUGUAUGAGUGAUUGCAGCUUGCUUUUAAGCUGGGAAGAGCCUUAUGAAAGUAGGGGAUUUGUAUUCUGUUAUAUGUUUUUAUCUGGGUAGGUUAGAGCAUUCCUGAAAUAUUCCUUUUAUUUUAUUUUAUUUUUUACUGAUAAAAAAAAUAACUAGUUAUUUUUUAUACUAAAUGAAAUCACAAAUAUUACCUAAUAGAACGAGGAACCAAUUUCACUGGGAAAAGAUUGCUCACAUUAAAUACAUAUGGGUUGAUAGAAAAGUAGUAAACUAGUAGACGAAGCACAAAUUGGAAAUUCCUAAGGCACAAAUUCUCAUAUGCCUACGUUUUCAUCAGGGGUCAACUCUCCACAAUUUCUUCAUUUCAAAUACAAUCUUUAUUUAAUGCAGAUAUUUUAAUCUCUAGCUCACCACUUUCUUCAAUGAUAACUGUGACAAUAUUUAAUAAAUUUACAUGAGAAAAUUGAAUUAUUUUUUGUCUUAAUUGUCGUUUGAAAUAACAAUAAUCCCUACUUUCAGAAUUAUUGAAUCCAAAUAUUUGUUCUUGAGUCAUGAGAUAAAUGGAGUCAUUUAAUUCAAAUUUUAGAUAGUUAAGAAUGGAGGAAGGAAAUUAUUGGAAGAUUCAUGAAGAAAUUAGGAAAAAAUAGAUAAAUUGCACACUGCCUUUCGUUCUCUAAAGGGUAUUUGUUUUCUUCCACUUUUUGGUUCACUUCUAAUGAUAUUAUGUCAUUUUUUGUCAAGAAGGAAUCUACGUUUGUGCAUGUUGAUGAUAAUGUCUAAUUUAAGUAAUAUUUCAUAUUAAAAUAUAGACACUUAUGAGGAUUUAUUGUUAAUUUACAUAAAAAAAAAUAAUCUCUAAUUUAUGAAUUUAUACCUUUUUACAUUUUUUAUGAUCUUUAUUUGAAUAAGAGUAUUUUAUUCCGAAAUUUGAUGUUAAUUGCAGAUUUAUAAGGAAGAUUGAAGAUUUGGAUUAAAGAUGAAUGAUUUGAGCUAAAAAGAUAAAGAUAGAAGGUCCCAUAAUGGAAAAAGAUGCAAAUGAAGAUUGAGACUUUUUUAUGUUUUAUCAGCCCGUUAGCCUAACCCUAGAAAACUACGAUAAAUAGAGGGCUAGAGGCUCAACCUUAAGGUGCCAGAUUGAGAGGAAAACACCAUAGAGUGAAUUGUAACCAGUUGGGAGAAUGGAAGGUGCUAGAAGUAUGCGUGGCUAAUUCUACCUUUGGGAUUGGGAGUAAUCUGCUCAAACUCUUAUGUAUUGAGGAGUGAUAUCUUAUAUAUUAAUAUUCAGUUCUUGAUUGAUUAUUGGUAUUGUUGUUUUACUUUUAAUUUUCCGUGACAAAUUGAGAAUCUUAAAUCUGACCGGGAGGUAUUUUUAGGGUUCUGACCUAAACAACAAUACUUAACAUAUUUGAGUGUUAGGAAUAGUGUUAAUUGCUAUUAAACGUCUGAGCUUCGUUCUAAGUUGUGUUCUUAUAAUUAUGCGAGAGAUCGAUAGUUAGGGACAUUCUUAAGGAUUUUAUAUGCGAGAAAUCGAUAUAAAUGAUUUUUAUACAGGCAUCAAUUUCAAUCAAAUAUUGACAUGCUAAUCAAAAUACUUGAGAGUGAGAGAGAUGAAACUAAUCCUUAUUUUUUCAAUUGAAACAACUAAUUCUUUGUGUGUUUUCUUAUUGAUCAGUGCCAACACAAUUAAUCCAAAACUCUUUUAAAUGUUAUGUUUUUAUAUUUAGCGAUUAUUGUACUCGAUAAUUCACUGUUCCUUGUGGGAUUGAUAUCCGUUCUUAGGAAUAUACUAACUAUUUUUUUUUUAUGUGAAUAAAUUUUUUAGUUUUUGAUUUUUUUUAGAAUUGUAUAUUUUUGUAAAGAUUUUGUUUUUAUUUUUAGAUGUGAAUAAUUUUGUUUUUUUUUUUAGAUUUGUAUAUUUUUUAUUUUUAUUUUUUUUAAAGAUUUUGUUUUUUUUUUCUAGUUUUGAAUAUGUAAAAAGUUUUUUUUUAGAUGUGAAUAUGUUUGUUUUUUUUUUUUGUAAAACUGUUAUUUUUAUGUUAAUAAUUUUUCUUUUAACUUUUUUUUAUUUUUAUUUGUUUACUUUAUUUAUUUUAUUUUGAUUCUGUUUUGUUAUAUUUUAUUUUAUUCUUUACUUCUUUAUUUUUAUAUUGUUUACGUAGUUUUUUUUACUGUAAUUAUUUUAUUUUAUUUUUAUUUUUAUUUUUAUUUUUAUUUUUAUUUUAUUUUGAUUUGGAUUUUGUUUUAUCAUAUUUUAUUUUUACGUUUAGCUUAAAUUGUUUAUUUAGAGUUUACGUUUCUGUUUAAGUAGUUUCUGUUUUACUAUUAGUUUCUGUUUUAUUUUUGUUUCAUUUUUAUAUUAUUUAGUUAUUUUUCUUAAUAGUUAUUUAUUUAGUUUUUUAUUUUUUAGUUUUUAUUUUACGCAAGUUUUUUUUCUAUCUAUAUAUUCUGUUUUAGUUUUCUUAGUUAGUUAGUUAUUUAAUUUUUUUUAUUUUGCAUAUUUUUAGUUUUUAUAUAUUAUUCUUGUUUUUAUUGAUUUUAUUUUUCUCUUUGUUAAAAAUUAUAGUUUUAUUAUUUUAUUUAGUUUUUAUUUAAGUUUUUGUUUCUUUUAUUUUAUUUUUUUGUUCUGUUUUUCAUUUACUAUUUAUUUCUCUUUCUUUUGUUAUUUUAAAUUUUCUGUUUUUCUUUAUUUCAUUUUUUUAAAAAAAAAAAAAAACUAUUUACUUGUUAUACUAAUCUUUGCUUGAGUUGUCUUAUGAUAUGAAGAAAACAAGUUUUUAUAGAUUGAGCAAUUGAGAAGACAACUCGGAAGAAUAGAAGUUAAAAGUAAAGAAAAGAGAAGCAAGGAGAGAAGUUAGAAAAGACUGAGAGAUGAUGAUGACGGUACCAAUCACUCCUAUCAGAUAAGUCCAACUGGUAAACCAUGGAGAAUUUCAAGGGAAACCCUACCUAUGUUAUGUAUUUUGACCUGAGGAUAGGUUCUAAUAUUCAGGGGGCAGAUCCAGCAAAUGAAGCAAGACUGUAGAUAAAGAUUUUAACAAAAAGCUGGAUGACUUCUUAAGAAGAGAGGAUUGAGCAAAAAUAUGGUUUUAUCUUUCUAAUUCUCUUUUCUUUUCAAAUUAUUUGAAUUUUAUCUUAUUUUAUUUAUUUUAUUUUUUGGUUAUUUUGUUUUCUGUUUAUUUGCUUAUUUGUUUAGUUUGUUUUUAUUGCUUAUUUUGAAUAAAUGUCCUGUUUUGUUAGUUUGGUAGUUUUAAGUCUUGAAUGAUCUUUCUUGAAUAAAUUUCAGUUUUAAUUUGUUUAUUUUCUAGUUUAUUUUUUCAAAUAAAAAAGAACUAGAAUAUUAAUUUUGAAUUGUGGAAAAAAGAAUUUGUGUUUAAAUAUUAAAUAGUGAGAUGAAUUAGACACAGGGUAGAAAAGAAAAUAUGACUGAAUCCCUAUUCAAAUGUAGUUAAAAUUAUGAUACAUGAAAAUAAUGACAAGAUAAUUGAUUAGGACAAAUAAUGACAAGACAAGAAGGAAUGAGACCAUUUAAACCAAGUGAGUGUGUGAACCUGAAACAGUUUUUGAGAGUUUUACUGAUGAAUUGACAGUUGUGGUUGCUUAAUUUUUAUUUUAUUUUUGUUGCAUCAUAAAAGAGCAGGAAGAUGAUUGAGAUAUUUGUUUGUGUUAAUUAGGAGCCAGGGCCAAAAAGCCAACCCUUUAUAUUAGUAUUCCAUUUUUUUUAUAUCCCCUUGGGCCAAGAAAUUUUUUUGUUGUUAAUAUUGCACCUUAACAUUUAUUGAUAUAAUUUCCUACCCUUUAGCAUGUCUAAGGAAGGAGAACAUAGAUGCAAUACAUAUAGAAAAGGGAAUGGUUGGUUCUGAUUGUGAAAGUUCAAAAAGUUUAAAAUAGGAAGAAUUUUUUCCUAUUAUUGAAAAAAAAAGAAAAAAAAAACAAGAAACAGAAACAGAAGAAGAAAAAGAAGUAGAAAAGAAAGAUAGUAAAAUUUCAUGAAAAGAAAGAAAAUGAGGAAAAAGGUGAUAUCGAAAGAAAGUGGUAAUUAGAUAACAUAUAUGUUCUCUAUAAUUGAAUUGUAGGUAUGUUCUUCUCCUUUAAUAUGUGCCUUUUGUUAUCUAAGAAAAACUAAUAUUUUUUGGAAGCCCAGCCUCAUUACAACCCUGGAAAAGACCUCAAGAUUCAUGUUUCUAAUAUGUUUGUGAUUAGGGUGUUAUGGUUGUGUGCUGGUGCUGACAAGUUGUGAGGUGACACGGAGUGUCCAAUGAGGAGAAUAAAUGAAAUCAAAUAAAAAAAUAUUGAUUACCUAGGUAGAGUAAUAGAGGUUGUUACAUCAUUAAUGGAAAGAUUCUUGGAACUCUUUGAUGUAGAGAAUUCCUCUAGGAUCAUUCUUCCAACUAAAAAUGGUGGGUUCUUGGGUUUUGGAAGGGCCAUUGAUUGCAUCACUUGCCAACAUUACAACAUCAGACAUGGCUGAUCUAUCUUUUGCAUCUUCUUGAACUCACAACAAACCAAUCUGUAUGCAUCUCUCAAGUUCACUGCCUACAAAGGAUUUUUCCAGCGUUGGAUCCAUCAUUUCCAAACAUUUUCCUUCACACCAUAUUCUCCAAAAUCCAAAAUCUGAUAUUUUUGGAUUCAUGUCAUGUCUAAUAAAACAUUGCUAUCUUUGAGAUCUCUGUGAAUUACUUUAAGUCGAGAGUCCUCGUGAAGGUAUAAAACACCUCUUUCAAUUCCAUUGAUAAAGUUUAAUCUUAAUUUCGAAUCAAAAAGCUUUUUCCUCUCAUCAUCUGAGAACACAAGAACAGAGAAGAAAUUAAGCAACAAUACAGUAUUUGAAGCAAAAUCUAUCAAAUACCAAAUGAGAUUUGGCCUUAUCCUGGGAAAAGAAUUAUUUUAUAUUUUAUCCUUAAAGAUAAUCUAUAACAUGAUCAUUCAUUACAUGAUAUAACUUGAAUUUAGUUUCAUGUUAUGAAAGGAGAAGAAAAUGCUAUUUUGGGUAUUAUUACCCUGUUUUGUUGUUCUUGUUCUUAAAAUCAAGAGUACUAUAAAGUACUUUAAAGUCCAUAAUAGAAUGAAUUGACUUGUUAAUCAAUAGAUAUUUUUAAAAAUUACAGUGAAAAUAUGCAUAGGAGUGUUGUGUUCUUGUAGAGUUCAAGAUUAACACUCUUACCUGUUUUUGUAAAUUCUCAGUAAGUACAAACCUCAUCUUAAACAUCAAUUUUAUAUACUCUGAUAAAAUAUUUAAACUUAAAGUUCCCUUUCUAAUAAUAUAUACUCUGAUACAAACAGAGUAUAUAUAAGAUCUGUCCAGUGAAGAGCUAAAAGCUAUUUUUCUUCGUCAUAUCCCUGAACAAAAUAUUUAAUUUCUAUAAUUAAGAAAUUUAAGAAAAUAGAUAUCAAUCCACAAGAAGAAACUCGAAAGUAUUAGAAUUUAUAUGUACAACUACUAUACUAAGAAUUAAUUUCUAAUCCAAUAACACAAUCCUCCUUAAAUAAAUUCCGUCAUCAUUUUAAUAUAACUUUAACUGUAUCAAUAAGGAAUUUUGAUUUUAGUAUAUCUAAGAUAUUUAUUGAUUUAUUAUUUUUAUACUAUGCUUAACUUUUCUAAAUAAAUUUGAGCUAGCUAGAGUAAUAGAAUCAUGACUGAUUCAACUCUGUCAAUGUCUAAAUAAAAGAAAAAUUGGAUCACCAGACAGGGAAACAAAAAAAUAGGAAAACGAAGGAAGAUAAAAUUGAAAACUGAGAAAAAUAAAUAGGGAUUGAUACUUGAGAAAGGAAGGAAAGAAAUGAUCUGAGUUGGGUUGCUUUUUAGUAAUGUUUGAGUUGUUUAAUUAGUUUUUUGAUAGGUAAGUUAGGUAUGGAAUGUCUAUAAAUUUAAGAGUUGAGACAUAAUUAAGGUUCCUUGGAUUUAAUAUAAGGAGUUGAGAUAUUUUCAGAACAUUAUCCAAACUCAACUACUUUAUGCACGUGAUCGUAUUUGUGUGGUUCAGAACACUCAAAAACAAGGAUUGAAGUAAAGCCAUCGUGAAGAAUUCUCACCUUCACUCCAACUUUCACAAUCCUUUCUUCUCUUUCAUUUUCCCACUUCCUUUCCAACCAUGUCAGACCUUGAAACUAUUGGAGGUGCUGUUCUCCAGGCACUAUUUGACAAGCUCGAUUCUUAUCAACUUCUCGACUACUUUCGUGGCGGAGAGCUCGAUGAGAGGCAACUGAAACAGUUGAAAAUGAAGCUGAUGGACAUCGAUGUUGUGAUUGAUGAUGCAGAACAAAAGCAGUUCACUAAUUCAUUGGUCAAACAAUGGCUUGAUGAGGUCAGAGAUGCAUUGUUGAUGCGGAGGAUCUGUUGGAGCAAAUAGACUAUGAAUUCUCCAAAACUCAGUUGAAACCUGAAUUUCAGAGCAGUUCUAGCAAGGUAAACAAUUUUCAAUCCGAGAUGUUAGAACUCCUAGAUGAACUAGAAUCUCUCUUAAACCAAAAGAUUGUUCAAGAUUUCAAAAUUUCCAGUGGUUUUGGAUCUGGGUUGGCUAAUAACGUGUCAGGGCAAAUAAAUGAAUCCUCAUUGUUGGUGGCACAAGAGGUUAUUUAUGGCAGAGAUGAGGACAAACAAAUCAUACUUAAGUGGGUUACUUCUGAGAGUAACAAUCAUAACCAGUUGUCAAUACUUUCUAUUGUAGGUAUGGGUGGGAUGGGUAAGACCACAAUACUUUCUAUUGUAGGUAUGGGUGGGAUGGGUAAGACCACACUUGCUCAACAUGUAUACAAUGACCCUAAGAAUAAGGAAGCUAAAUUUGACCUUAAAGCUUGGUUCUGUGUUUCAGAUGAAUUUCACGUUCUGAGGGUAUCAAAAGCAAUUAUUAGGGCUUUCACUAAAUCAAAAGAUGAUAGUGAAGACCUAGAAAUGGUUCAUGGAAAACUGAAAGAAAAAUUGACUGGAAUGAAGUUUCUUCUGCUUCUGGAUGAUGUCUGGAACGAAGACCGAUAUCAAUGGAAAUCAUUGCAAACUUCUCUUAAAUAUGGUGCUAAGGGAAGUAAAAUUCUUGUCACAACACGCAUUAACAAAGUUACAUCUACCGUGGAGUCAAACAAAAUUCACCCACUAAAGCAAUUACAAAAAGAUCACAGUUGGCAAGUUUUUGCUAAACAUGCAUUUCACGAUGAUAACUCUAAGUCGAAUUCUGUGUUGGAGGACAUUGACUUCAAUAUAGUUGAAAAGUGCCAAGGACUGCCUCUGGCCCUUGAAACGGUAGGAGGUAUCUUACAGUCAAAGUCAUCUGUUUCAGAGUGGGAAGGUGUACUGAAAAGCAACAUAUGGGACUUACCAAUAGAAGAUAGUAAAAUCAUCCCCGCUUUGUUAUUGAGCUAUUACCAUCUUCCUUCUCACCUCAAGAGAUGUUUUACUUAUUGUGCGUUAUUCCCCUUGUCCAGAUCACUAACUGGUUCUAAUCUUAAAACCGAAGUUCUAAUUUAUUAAUAAUCACAAAACAAAAUACAUAAAAAAAAAUUUAAAUACUAGAAAAACUAAACACCUAGAAGUUAGAAAAAUAAGAAACUAUAAAAAUAAUAAAAUUCAAAAUAAAAUAAAAAUAAGACAAAGCAAAAUCAAAAUAAAAAAAAAUCAGAAUGACCUUUUUCAUCCAAAAUAAAGACCAAAAGAAUGUCUUGACCUUCUCGUGGAACUUAGGUAGAAAUCUGGAAAGAGUUGCAGCUUCCUGUUCAGACAUUGGAGUUCCUUGAGGUUACUCGAACUCCUCAUACUUAAGAUGACCUCACACUUUUCUAGAUUGGUCUCAAUACCUAGCCUAAGAACUUUACGCCACCAAUAUUCCUGAAGAAGCAUUUUUUAGGGUUGAGACACAUAUUGUGUGCUCAAACUUGGUUAGACACUUUCUCCAAGUGGAUUGGAUGGUCUUUGACUGUCACUGAUUUAAUUACCAUGUCAGCAACAUAAACCUCACGAUAUUAUUGAUGAGGUCUUUGAACACUUUUUCCAUUAGUAGCUGGCACAAGCAUUUUUAUGGUCAAAAGACAUGACCUUGUAACAAAAGUUGAACCCUUUUGUCAUGAAUGCAAUCUUUUCUUCAUUAUACAGAUACAUUCUGAUCUAAUUGUACCUAAAAUUGGAACCAAGAAAGUUGAACAACUCGAAACCUUAAACAUUAUCCAUGAGCCAAUCUAUACUUGGAAGGGGAUAUGUGUCUUUUGGACAUGUCUUGUUUAAGUCAGCGUAAUCAAUGCACAUUCUCUACUUGCCAUUUUCUCUAAAUCAACUGCUAGUCUUCUCUCCUUUGUGAGCUUGUGUUUCCUUUGGGCCAUGGGCUUUGCCUGGGGUUGAAUGACAAGCUUAUGACACAUAAAGUUAGAGACUAUGUCAGGCAUGCAUGCUAGAAUCCAAGCAAACAGGUCGACAUUACAGAUGAGGACUCUUUCAAUAUCAUUCCUUAAAGCACAGUUGAUCAUCUUUCAGAUCCUAGUGAGUUGAGUGGGUAGAUGGUCGAAUUUACCGUGAUGAUGGUCAUCAAAGGUAGGUCGAUUGUCUCUAAAUUCUACCCUAAGGUCGAAGUCCAUUUCAUCUUCUACUGGAGAUGUCAGGCUAAUCUCCUUGACAAUAAGACAUAUUUGGAUGGUGCCACAUUCUCCUGGUAAUGUAUUCCACAACGAAAAAUUAUUUCCAUUGAACAUCUAUAUCUCAUUUUUUUUCCAUGGAUCUAAAAUCGAUUUAUGCACUUCUUGUUGAUUUUGGCUUAAUCCCAAUUCCCACAUCAGUGGGUUUGUUUGGGAAGGAGGUUUGAGGGUUAUAAAUUAAACUCUCCUCCUUCACUGUUAAAUAUUCCAAUUUGUAAUAUCUUCUCCCAUAAUAAUAAAAGCGAGUUGUUUUUGCUGUGCUCGGAGAUUAGGCUAAACAGACCGAACUCCGUUAACAAUUUUCGGGUGUGUUUUUUCUUCUUUAUCUCUUUUAUUAUUCCGCUUUAUUUAUUCAAUAUUAUUUGUCGGGUAGCUCUGUUAGGGUUUUGUUUUAGUGGGAAAAGUACCUGUUUUUCCGAACAAGUAGUAUCAAGAGCCGAAGGUUCGCCUUGGGUUGUUUGAAAUUGUUUGUAAUAUUGAAUACAAUAUUUUGAGUUUGUGAUGGCAAGAGGUCGUCAGCAAAGUCAGACAAAGGGGAGAAGAGGGAGGUCUAAGUCUAAAGGUCGAGUCGUUGCCAAAGAUGAGUGUGCUUUCUGUCAUGAGAAAGGACACAGGAAGAAAGAUUGUCCAAAACUGUAGAAGAAAGGGAAGGCUCCACAAGAUGCAAAUGUUGCAGAAUGCAAAAGUGAUGUGGAAUCAGAUAUUUCUUUAAUUGUCUCGCUUUCAGCAUCAUCGUAUCCAGAUGAGUGGAUAUUGGAUUCAGGUUGUACCUAUCAUAUGUGUCCCAUUCGGGAUUGGUUCUUNNNNNNNNNNNNNNNNNNNNNNNNNNNNNNNNNNNNNNNNNNNNNNNNNNNNNNNNNNNNNNNNNNNNNNNNNNNNNNNNNNNNNNNNNNNNNNNNNNNNGAUGGAUCCACCAGAAUUUUGCGGGAUGUACGGUACGUGCCAAAGUUAAAGAAGAAUCUAAUCUCAUUGGGGGCUUUAGAAUCUAAAGGCCUAGUUGUGACGAUGCGAGAUGGAAUUCUUAAAGCAACUUCAGGAGCACUGGUGAUGUUGAAAGGCGUGAGGAAGAACAAUUUGUAUUACUAUCAAGGUAGUACAGUGGUGGGGACAGUAGCGACAACAACUUCUAGCUCUAAGAAGGAUGUUGAGGCAACGAAGUUGUGGCAUAUGAGGUUGGGACAUGCUGGAGAGAAAUCCUUGCAAAUUCUUACCAAGCAGGGAUUGUUGAAAGGUACGAAGGCUUGCAAACUUGAAUUUUGUGAGCAUUGUGUUCUGGGAAAACAACGAAGAGUGAAGUUUGGCACUGCAAUUCACAAUACCAAGGGUAUUCUGGAUUAUGUGCAUUCAGAUGUGUGGGGACCUGCCAAGACUCCGUCAAUCGGAGGUAGGCAUUAUUUUGUCACUUUUGUUGAUGAUUUUUCCAGGAGAGUUUGGGUGUUUACUAUGAAGAACAAAAAUGAUGUGCUUGAAAUUUUCCUUAAGUGGAAAGCUCAAGUUGAAAACCAGACAGGAAGGAAGAUUAAGGUUCUCUGAACAGACAAUGGAGGAGAAUACAAGAGUGAUCCGUUCCUGAAGGUAUGCCAAGAUUGUGGCAUAGUUCGGCACUUCACUGUUAGAAAAACACCACAACAGAAUGGGGUUUCGGAGCGUAUGAACAAGACACUUGUGGAGAAAGUUCGUUGUAUGUUGUCUAAUGCUGAGUUAGGCAGAGAGUUUUGGGCUGAGGCUGUGACAUACGCUCAACAUCUCGUCAAUCGUUUGCCAUCAUCUACUAUAGAUGGAAAAACCCCGUUAGAGGUAUGGUCUGGAAAACUUGCAACUGAUUAUGAUUCUUUGCAUGUUUUUGGUUCUAUUGCAUAUUAUCAUGUGAUUGAAUCAAAGUUGGAUCCACGGGCAAAGAAGGCUCUUUUCAUGGGCUUUAGUCCUGGAGUGAAGGGAUACCGUUAGUGGUGUCUAGAGGCAAAGAAGACGAUUAUCAGCAGGGAUGUUACCUUUGAUGAAUCUUCCAUGUUAAAGAAGGUAAAUCUAGAAGGAGCUGAUAUUACUCCACAGCAGGUGGAGUGUGCCCAGAAGCAGGUGGAGUUUGAGCAGACAGUGGUGAUCCCAACACGAAAUACCACAAGUGACUCUCCUAUGACAGAAGAAGAGUCAGAUGAGGAAGAGGUUCCUGCCCAAGAAUCUCAACAGCAAUCAGCGUCAAUUGCAGUUAGAAGACAGAGACGAAACAUUCAUAAGCCUGCUCGUUUCAUUGAUAUGGUUGCCUAUGCACUUCCAGUUGUUGAUGACAUUCCAUCCACUUACCCAGAAGCCAUUCUGAGUUCAGAGAGUGGUAAUUGGGCAGGUGCGAUGGAAGAGGAGAUGCAGUCUUUGAAGAAGAACAAGACGUGGAAGUUGGCACAAUUACCAAAAGGUAAGAAGGCAAUUGGGUGCAAAUGGGUAUUUGCAAAGAAAGAAUGAUUUCCUAAUAAAGAAGAUGUUCGCUACAAGGCAAGGUUGGUUGCUAAAGGCUUUGCUCAGAGAGAGGGAAUUGAUUAUAAUGAGGUAUUUUCUCCAGUUGUUAAACAUUCCUCCAUUCGAAUUUUGUUGGUCUUGGUAGCACAGUUGAAUUUGGAGCUUGCUCAACUUGAUGUAAAGACCGCAUUCCUACACGGUGAUUUGGAGGAGGAAAUCUAUAUGACUCAACCAGAAGGAUACAAGGUUGAUGGUAAAGAAGAUUGGGUUUGUAAACUUAGCAAAUCGUUGUACGGACUGAAACAAUCUCCGAGACAGUGGUACAAACGAUUUGAUAAGUUCAUGAAGGAUCAGAAGUACAAGAGAAGCAAAUAUGAUCACUGUGUGUAUUUGCGCAGACUUGAAGAUGGUUCCUACAUUUACUUACUCUUAUAUGUUGAUGAUAUGCUGAUUGCAGCAAAGAGCCAAGUUGAGAUUGACAGGUUAAAGGCUCAGUUGAAUAAAGAGUUCGAGAUGAAGGAUUUGGGGGAAGCCAAGAAGAUUCUCGGCAUGGAGAUAAACAGGGACAGGGAGAGGGGAAAACUUUGGCUGUCACAGAAGCAGUAUUUGCAGAAGGUACUACAACGUUUUGGUAUACACAAAGAUACAAAACCUAUAAGUACCCCACUUGCUCCUCAUUUGAAAUUGAGUAGCCGUUUAUCUCCGACGACUGAUGAAGAACGAGAAUACAUGGCGAAAGUCCCAUAUGCAAAUGCGGUUGGAAGCNNNNNNNNNNNNNNNNNNNNNNNNNNNNNNNNNNNNNNNNNNNNNNNNNNNNNNNNNNNNNNNNNNNNNNNNNNNNNNNNNNNNNNNNNNNNNNNNNNNNNNNNNNNNNNNNNNNNNNNNNNNNNNNNNNNNNNNNNNNNNNNNNNNNNNNNNNNNNNNNNNNNNNNNNNNNNNNNNNNNNNNNNNNNNNNNNNNNNNNNNNNNNNNNNNNNNNNNNNNNNNNNNNNNNNNNNNNNNNNNNNNNNNNNNNNNNNNNNNNNNNNNNNNNNNNNNNNNNNNNNNNNNNNNNNNNNNNNNNNNNNNNNNNNNNNNNNNNNNNNNNNNNNNNNNNNNNNNNNNNNNNNNNNNNNNNNNNNNNNNNNNNNNNNNNNNNNNNNNNNNNNNNNNNNNNNNNNNNNNNNNNNNNNNNNNNNNNNNNNNNNNNNNNNNNNNNNNNNNNNNNNNNNNNNNNNNNNNNNNNNNNNNNNNNNNNNNNNNNNNNNNNNNNNNNNNCGUUAUCACUUUGUGCGUGAGAUUCUCGAAGAAGAGGAGAUUGUUCUCCAGAAGAUUCACACUACGGAGAAUCCUGCAGAUAUGCUCACCAAGGUGGUUACAAGGACCAAGUUUGAACACUGUUUAGACUUGGUUAAUAUCUUGCACAUUUGAAGUUGGCGCCCGAAGGCGCAAAUUUGAAGCACUACAAAGUUUGUUUUUGUUAUGUUUUGAGAAGAUUUGUUUUAGGUGGGACUUGAAAUUAAGCCAAGGUGGAGAUUUGUUGAUUUUGGCUUAAUACCAAGUCCCACAUCGGUGGGUUCAUUGUUUGGGAAGGAGGUUUGAGGGUUAUAAAUUAAGCUUUCCUCCUUCACUGUUAAAUAUCCCAAUUUGUAAUAUCUUCUCCCAUAAUAAUAAAAGCGAGUUGUUUUUGCUGUGCUCGGAGAUUAGGCUAAACAGGCCGAACUCGGUUAACAAUUUUCGGGUGUGUUUUUUCUUCUUUAUCUCUUUUAUUAUUCCGCUUUAUUUAUUCAAUAUUAUUUGUCGGGUAGCUCUGUUAGGGUUUUGUUUUAGUGGGAAAAUUACCCGUUUUUCCCAACACUUCUCACUAUGAAUAGUAUUAUUUACUGGUAUAAUGGCUAUAGAUUGUGAAAUAGUACAUCAGGUAAGUUUCUAGGAAAGAGAUGUGAGUCAUAAAUGGACACGCUUAAGUACCAAGUUUUUCAUUGUCAUAAUAUUCCUAGACAUGCCUUUUUACACUACCACACUUUAUAUUUAAUAACAAGAAUAAUUCAUUUCUGAUGUGACAGAUCAUACUAUAGUUAAUAUAAAAGAAGAAGUUGAGAGGUUCAUGAUGACGAUGAAGCCACAAUCCAGCUUCUAGUGAGUACCAUAAGACUUGUGGUCUCAGAACAAUUUUAACUAGGCCCAUAGUGGGUGUCAAAUGUUCUUACCAAGGUUGAGCUGAAAUCAUCUAAGAUGGAUGCACAACCUAUAAGGGCGAAUUGACCUCUUCGAGGAAGGGUUGUCAAACUUUGAUGAUAAAAAGCGAGUGGUGAUCCACUUGUAAAGGAUUCUCCAAAUAUUAAGGUGAUUAAUCUAUUAUUAAAUUGGACUAAUUUCACUAGCACAAAAUGUAUAAACAAUGACUAUUUAUUUAAUGCAGUUUUAGGGUUAGCCGUUGUCAUUCAAAAUGCGGUGGUAUUUUUGAAAUUAAUUUCAUUUACGAAUGCGGCUAUUUGUAAUAGCUGCAUCCUUAAAUCAAAACGCAUGAUUUACGAAUGCAACUAUUUAAAUAGCCGCAUUCUUAAAUCAAAGCGCAUGAUUUACGAAUGUGGCUCUUUAAAUAGCCGCAUUCGUAAAUCAAAGCGCAUGAUUUAAGAAUGCGGCUAUUACCAAUAGCCGCAUUCUUAAAUAAUUUUUUUACCCUAAUUUUGAAGCGCGUCACUUACGCUUUCAUACUUUUUUUUUUUGGCGCUUCGCGUUUUCUCUUUGUUUCUGCUAUGGUGUUUCUCUCUUCUGCGAGUUUCAUUGUGUUCUCGUACCAAUGUAAGUUCAUUUCGAUUCGGUUUAUACAUAUUUUUUGUUUCACUUAUUUGUUUGUUUUCUUGCAUUGGCGAAGGGUUAUUUGACGCUUCAUUUUCUCUUUUGUUUAUGCUCUCGUGCUUCCUCUCGUUUUCUACGAGCCUUCAUUGUCUUCUUUGUGCCAUUGUAAGUUCUUUUCGAGUUCUCUUUCUUCUUCACCAUUGAUUUAUAUAUAUUUUUUCGUUUCUCUUAUCUAUUUGUUUUCUUGUAUUGACGAAGGUCACCAGCUUCAUUGUCUGCUGUUUGGAUUUUUGCUAUGCCAUAUUUGCUCCGUUGUUGCUGUUGCCACCGCUGUUGCUGCCUUAGGGUUUACGGUUUUAAUUUUUUUAAAAAAAUUAAAUAAGAAUGCGAUUAUUUACCAUAGUCGCAUUUAUAAAUCGCAUUUACGAAUGCGACUAAAUAACCGCACUUGUAAAUCUUCGAUUUAAGAAUGCGUGCUGAUCAAGUGCGGCUAUAUAACCGCCCUUGUAAAUGUAAAAUAGCCGCACUCGUUUGACCUGUCUGCACUACUGUUUCUAUUCUAACAAAUGAGUUUUUAAUUUGCAGAUGGUUUGACAUGUCAAAUGGAUAUUAUAUUAUGAAUAUUUUGACAAUGAAUUGAAUAGUACAAUAAUAUAUAUAUAUAUAUAUAUAUAUUUAUUAAAAUGACAUAAACAUUAAUUUAUAGUUAUUAUUCCAUAACCCUACAAUUAAAUAAUAUUAAUCACAAAAAUUGAACAAUGUUGUUUUUUCUUGUUCGUUUUCACAUGCUCAUGCGUUCAUACACUGUUCUUGUUUAGGCUAAUUAAUGUAAAUGAUGAUCUUGUAUACUUUUCCAUACACAUAUUUUUCAAAGUAUUUUCUAAUAAUUUUUAGUCAUUGGCGUGUUAGUAAUACAAUAUUUGGCUAGAAACAAUGUAUUUACUUUUUGACUAAUAGGGAUAUGUUGUUACUAGACAUGAACACGGAUGAAGUAAGAUGAAAGAAUAAUAAUCUCUUAUACUUAUUCAAAAUCCCAAACAUUAAUUUGCAUUAAUAAAUAUCUUCCUCUUUUGUGGUGAAGUACCCAAGUAUAAAUAUUUAUUUUCAGUCAUUUGACCCUUUUAUUAAUAAAAUAAUAUUUUAAAAAUUAAACUAUCAAAAAAAUUAAUUUUCAAAAUAUGGUGAACUGAACAUUUAACAAGCCAACAAUAUUUUGUUUGAUAAAAGAUCCUUACAAAAAUAUUGCAUUAUUUUUACUAUUUAUUUCUUAUUUUUAAUGUAAAAUUGAUAAAAUAACAUAUUAUUGUUUAUAUAACUUUGUUUUACAAUUUUAAAUAAUAAUAAAAAUCACCAUUGUGUAUUUAUAUACUUUUGAAUGAAAAUAUAAAAUAAUUUUUAAAUAUAACACGACACGAAAAAAAAAUUAGCGAAAGUUUUUUACUAAAAAUUAAUAUAAUCUUAAUAUUAAAUAUAAUUAACAGAGACUUUUUUUAAUCUUAAUUAAGUUGUAUAUAAUCUUAAGAAAAUUAUCAAGAUUUAUUUUAAAUUAUAUUUUAUUUUUAAUUUCCAUCUAAUUUUGAUCUCAUUUUUCUGCUCUUUCCCUAUAAAAAUCAGUACCACAGACCUCACCCCUGCUCUUCGUUUCACAUAUUUCAUUUCAAAUGUUGAAAGCAGGUUCUACCUUAUUCCACAUGCACCAGUGCAAAAAUUGUGUUUAACGAUAUUGUGUAUCCAUCAAAAUGCAGUGACACUUUUAUGAUUAUUACAAAGAUAUAGACCCCGAUUAUAAAAGGCUCUUAACUUGUUCUUUCUUUCUUUCUUAACCUCUACAUGGAAGAGCUUUCAUUUAUAGAAGUACUAAAAAAACCAUUGUAAUCUUUGUAUUAUAAAGGAUAAUGUUAGAGUUUUACCAUAAGUUCACGACUUCAUGUUCACAUAUUUUUGGCAGUGUGCUGUCUACCAUUGGUUUUUGGCAGGCUUCUGUUCUCCUGAAACAGUGGAAGAAGUCUGUGUACUGCAGCUUCACCAACUCUUUUGGAGUAGGAUUAUACACAGAAUUUAAUGCUUUGGUGGUUUUGUAUGAGAACCAUUUGUUUGUUAGGCUCUAACCAUAUCUGUGUAGUCGGUGGUCGUCGAUGUUAUGCAACGCUCAACAUGAUCGCCGGUAAUUAAAACGACGAUAGUCAAUAUGAUCAUCGAUCGAGGAAGCGGCGUUCUCCAUAUGUGUGUAGUCGGUGGUCGCCGAAGUUACUUGAAAUGGCGUGCUCCAUAUGUAUGUAGUCGGUGGUUGCCAAAGUUAUACAAGGUCAACAGAAUCACCGCUCGAUGAAACGGCGAUCUCAAUACGUGCGUAGUCGGUGGAUGUCGAAGUGAUGCAAAGGCUAACAUGAUCGCCGGUCGGUGGUCGUCGAAGUUAUGCAAAGAUAAUCGCCGGUCGAGGAAGUGGCGUGCUCUUUAUGGACGUAGUCGGUGGUCGCCGAAGGCAAUGUGCAUGGGUAACUCGUCGCGUGGCGAGGUGAAUGUAGAAGGCAUCGGUUGUGGGCAUCUCGAGUUGUAAGUUGCUUAAGGUAACCUGUUGGCUGUUUUUUGGGUAUGGUUGUCUCACUUUAAGGUUGCUCUACCACAACCAUAAAGGAGAGUCUUUUGUGUGGAUGAUGUAGGAAGUCCACUUCUGGGUUACUGUAUAUGGGUUGGGAUACCCCUGAAGUAUCCCCUUAAUUUUAUUUAUUCAUUGCUUAUAAAAAAAAAAAAGCUCUAACCAACUUGAGGCCUUUUUGUGGUCUUGGUCGAUUUAUGGUAGUAGUGUAGGUUUACCUCAUAGCAUUUACCUGUUCAUGGUAUUUGGUUCUGGUUUUUUUAUAUGGGUUUAGGGGUGUCCCAUUUUAAUUUUAAUUUUUUACUGAUAAAAAAAAGUUCACAUAUUUUAUUGUUGAACUAAAACAGAUGUGUAAGGUGUACUUUUUAUUUUAAUUUUUAUCUCUGUUGUAUAUUUUCUUCAGUUGACAGUAUCAUAUCAAAUAUACUAACUUUGCCAUCAGAUAUCAAAUAUACUAGUUUUUGACAGUAUCAUAUCAUAUAAAAAAAAUCUCCAUGCUGAAUGAUGAAUCACUAAAUAUCACCUGAUAGAACUAGGAAACAAUGUCACUUAAUCUCAAAAAAGCAGUUCUGCACAUACAAAUAAUUAGAUGUAGAUGCAGUCUCAAACUGUGAGAUUCAUCAGACUUGAGAAACAUGACAAAGAUUCAAACCACACAUUACUAUGUAAAGUUCUCUACGUUGUUUACAAACAAGCAGUGAUGCAAAAAUAGCAUAUGGAAGAAAUCAAAAUUCUGCAAGUUGUGAACGAACCCCUUAGACAUGCAAACAUGGGCAGACUUGUACACUUGAAAAUUUGAAGCUCGAAAUGUAAUGUGUUGCAGCUGGGUCAGUCGGGCAUGUAAUGUAUGUGACUUAAUAUCUGAUCCAAUUAUUUCCAUUACAUUGGAUUCAAUGUCUUCAUCCUGAGGUCCUUUAAUACUACCAUUCACAACUAUAAUCAAAGUCCAAAAUAAAUCAGUGACAUGAUACUUACCUUCAACAGGAAGAAGAUUGUUCACAAAAACGACAAAAAUAUUAAGACUAACAGUCAACUACUUGAAACCAUUUAAUUCAUCAAAUAUAUUUCUUGUUACGCUCCAAACCAUUCUGAAUAGGGAACAACUCAAGCUAAAAGAAAAAAAAAGGGAAAUGGACCGAUUUAAUAGUGGGUUGGGGUGUCUUUAUUCAUAAAGUAAGCCACCGAAAUAGACUAAUUCACUCAAGUUGGUAAAAACGACUAUGAAAGCCACAUGGUGCUGUCGGCAAUAAUCAUCAACAGCUACUGCUUCCUGCCCAUCACUCCUUUAUUGAAGCAAAUCCAUCUCCAACAAAAUUCUCACUCCUUCAUUCACGUCACUGAGCUUCACUUCCAAUUUUCACACCCCUUUCUUCUCUUUCAUUUGGCCACUUCCUUUCCAACCAUGCCAGUCCUAGAAACACUUGGCGGUGCUCUUUUUGGCGCUGUUCUCCAGAUGCUAUUUGACAAGCUCGAUUCUAAUCAAAUUCUCGACUACUUUCGUGGGAAAAAGCUCGAUGAGAAGCUGCUGAAAAAUUUGAAGAGGAAGUUGGUGUCCAUCAAUGCUGUGGUUGAUGAUGCAGAACUAAAGCAGUUCAGAAAUGCAUACGUUAAAGCGUGGCUUGACGAGGUCAGAGACGUGUUGCUGGACACAGAGGAUCUGCUGG
RNAcentral lists this long non-coding RNA (22949 nucleotides) under Phaseolus vulgaris (common bean). RNAcentral's name for it is "long non-coding RNA (PVUL_LNC000430)". Lineage: Eukaryota; Viridiplantae; Streptophyta; Magnoliopsida; Fabales; Fabaceae. The record is from RNAcentral.